GAAGCUUGCUUCCGUUCAAGUUAGCGGCGGACGGGUGAGUAACACGUGGGUAACCUGCCUGUAAGACUGGGAUAACUCCGGGAAACCGGGGCUAAUACCGGAUAUUCUUUUUCUUCGCAUGAAGAAGAAUGGAAAGGCGGCUUUUAGCUGUCACUUACAGAUGGACCCGCGGCGCAUUAGCUAGUUGGUGAGGUAACGGCUCACCAAGGCAACGAUGCGUAGCCGACCUGAGAGGGUGAUCGGCCACACUGGGACUGAGACACGGCCCAGACUCCUACGGGAGGCAGCAGUAGGGAAUCUUCCGCAAUGGACGAAAGUCUGACGGAGCAACGCCGCGUGAGUGAAGAAGGUUUUCGGAUCGUAAAGCUCUGUUGUCAGGGAAGAACAAGUACGGAAGUAACUGUCCGUACCUUGACGGUACCUGACCAGAAAGCCACGGCUAACUACGUGCCAGCAGCCGCGGUAAUACGUAGGUGGCAAGCGUUGUCCGGAAUUAUUGGGCGUAAAGCGCGCGCAGGCGGCUUCUUAAGUCUGAUGUGAAAGCCCACGGCUCAACCGUGGAGGGUCAUUGGAAACUGGGAGGCUUGAGUGCAGAAGAGGAGAGCGGAAUUCCACGUGUAGCGGGUGAAAUGCGUAGAGAUGUGGAGGAACAC
Molecule: ribosomal RNA, 653 nt
Filed under: Bacillus sp. (in: firmicutes)
Lineage: Bacteria; Bacillati; Bacillota; Bacilli; Caryophanales; Bacillaceae
Also listed under: 1 other name
Description: bacterial SSU rRNA
Rfam family: Bacterial small subunit ribosomal RNA
Source: RNAcentral